RNAcentral lists this ribosomal RNA (261 nucleotides) under uncultured prokaryote. Its description in RNAcentral is "partial 16S ribosomal RNA". It matches the Rfam family "Bacterial small subunit ribosomal RNA", at positions 524 to 784 of the family's 1533-position model. The record is from RNAcentral.
UACGUAGGUGGCGAGCGUUAUCCGGAAUUAUUGGGCGUAAAGAGCGCGCAGGUGGUUGAUUAAGUCUGAUGUGAAAGCCCACGGCUUAACCGUGGAGGGUCAUUGGAAACUGAGGGACUUGAGUACAGAAGAGGAGAGUGGAAUUCCACGUGUAGCGGUGAAAUGCGUAGAGAUGUGGAGGAACACCAGUGGCGAAGGCGGCUCUCUGGUCUGUAACUGACGCUGAGGUGCGAAAGCGUGGGUAGCAAACAGGAUUAGAUA